UUUCAACAACGGAUCUCUUGGUUCCGGCAUCGAUGAAAAACGCAGCGAAAUGCGAUACGUAAUGUGAAUUGCAAAUUCAGUGAAUCAUCGAGUCUUUGAACGCACAUUGCGCCCCCUGGUAUUCCGGGGGGCAUGCCUGUCCGAGCGUCAUUGCUGCC
Molecule: ribosomal RNA, 158 nt
Filed under: Penicillium commune
Lineage: Eukaryota; Fungi; Ascomycota; Eurotiomycetes; Eurotiales; Aspergillaceae
Description: 5.8S ribosomal RNA
Rfam family: 5.8S ribosomal RNA
About the family: 5.8S ribosomal RNA (5.8S rRNA) is a component of the large subunit of the eukaryotic ribosome. It is transcribed by RNA polymerase I as part of the 45S precursor that also contains 18S and 28S rRNA.
Source: RNAcentral